Molecule: ribosomal RNA, 458 nt
Filed under: uncultured bacterium
Lineage: Bacteria
Description: partial 16S ribosomal RNA
Rfam family: Bacterial small subunit ribosomal RNA
Source: RNAcentral
CCUACGGGAGGCAGCAGUGGGGAAUAUUGCACAAUGGGCGCAAGCCUGAUGCAGCGACGCCGCGUGCGGGAUGGAGGCCUUCGGGUUGUAAACCGCUUUUGUUCAAGGGCAAGGCACGGUCUUUGGCCGUGUUGAGUGGGUUGUUCGAAUAAGCACCGGCUAACUUCGUGCCAGCAGCCGCGGUAAUACGUAGGGUGCCAGCGUUUUACGGAUGUAUUGGGAGUAAAGGGCUCGUUGGCGGGUCGGCGCGUCCGGUGUGAAGGCCCAUCGCUUAACGGUGGAUCCGCGCCGUGUACGGGCGGGCUAGAGUGCGGUAGGGGAGACUGGAAUUCCCGGUGUAACGGUGGAAUGUGUAGAUAUCGGGAAGAACACCGAUGGCGAAGGCAGGUCUCUGGGCCGUUACUGACGCUGAGGAGCGAAAGCGUGGGGAGCGAACAGGAUUAGAUACCCCAGUAGUC